RNAcentral lists this ribosomal RNA (33 nucleotides) under Neohypochnicium michelii. RNAcentral's name for it is "Hypochnicium michelii partial 28S ribosomal RNA". The record is from RNAcentral. Lineage: Eukaryota; Fungi; Basidiomycota; Agaricomycetes; Polyporales.
CUGACCUCAAAUCGGGCGGGACUACCCGCUGAA